GGCAAAAUUUGUAGAAAUUUUAUGUUAUUAUCCUUUGACAAAAUCUUUUUUUCUCGCACGAAGUCUAAAAAAAUCUGGGUAGAAAGAGUUAUAUUUUAGUUUAUUAAGUUAUACUGGCUAUUUUAUUUGCAUCUUGAUCAGAUUUUAAAGUCUAGAUUGAUCUUUUCCAUAUGUUUGUUCCAUCGCAUGCUAAAACAACAACGAAAUAUCUCUCCAAAGCGGGUGAAAAUAUAGUGGAAAAUCGAUGUUUAGAUAAAUUUAACAAAUAUUUAUAUAACCUAGCACGAAAUAUUAAGAAAAGAUCAAAGAGAUUCAAGAAAAAA
Molecule: non-coding RNA, 323 nt
Organism: Paramuricea clavata
Lineage: Eukaryota; Metazoa; Cnidaria; Anthozoa; Malacalcyonacea; Plexauridae
Source: the annotation of a GenBank genome assembly